UGAGUCCUUAUCUAAUCGGAAACACCACUGUUUUAUAGGCUAAUUAAGUAAGGUUAAUUCGGGAAGAAGGAAAACUUCGUGGCGUUUCAAUUAAAGUAGUAGGCUAAUUGAGCGAGAGAAAUCCAGUUCUUUUUUAUAUUUGGACCUUGGACUUCUCCUUUCGUACUUUUACUUCUUUUCUUUUUUGGUAAAAUUUAUUUUCAAUUAAAAAAUGCAAACCUCCUUCCAGAAGACGUUUACGUAUAGUCGUACUUGUAGUUUCUGUGUCUUGAAAGAUAGCUUUAGUCAUGGCGAAUCCUCUUCCGUUUAAGUCUUUCUUCUCAGUGUCUUCGCAACGAAGCUUCACCCCUGACAUAAACUGUUUUAUCUGUUAAUUUGAGCAGUCUUUUCAGGAGCAGCUGCCUAGAAGGGAUUUACGAAGGAUUUUCCAGAAUUACGAGUCAGCUCGAGCAGCGAUGACAACGAUCCUACGUUCGAAAGCCAAGGUGAAUGCAACGCAUCGGCACGCGUAUUUUAUGCGUGACGUAGGAUCGCACUGAAUGGACAGCCGCGGCGGAAAGGAUGCGGUUAACCUCGCUAGUUUCGUGUUUCCUACGAAGGUGAAACGUUGAUGCACACACGCGUGAUAUUUGCCGCAGAAAUCGUAACGCGAGGUGAAUUAAAGCCGCUCGUGAAACAUCAUUACCAUUUAUACUACGGAAGAUUUAAAAUUGAAAAUAGCCCUCCGAACAUGAAGAUGACUCACGAUCUUAAUAUCGUUCCAUGAAAACUCACAUAAAUUGGAUCGUAAAGCAACUUUACUCGAAGAUCAUUCGUUUUAAGCUAAUAGAAGCGAGUUCUUCUUCCCUUGUAACGAGCUACGCAAUAGAAAAUACGUUACUUUGAUGAAC
Long non-coding RNA from Bombus pascuorum, 890 nucleotides. RefSeq lists it as uncharacterized. The record is from RefSeq and is a predicted model, not a curated record. Lineage: Eukaryota; Metazoa; Arthropoda; Insecta; Hymenoptera; Apidae. The transcript is spliced from 2 exons.